CUACGGGCCGCUCCAGGCGCGAAACCUUUACAAUGCACGAAAGUGUGAUAAGGGGAUUCUAAGUGCUCAUGUAUAACAUGGGCUUUUGCCAAGGGUAAAUACCUUGGCGAAUAAGUGGUGGGCAAGACUGGUGCCAGCCGCCGCGGUAACACCAGCGCCACAAGUGGGAACCAUGAUUUAUUGGGCCUAAAGCGUCCGUAGCCGGUUUAGUAAAUCCUUUGUGAAAUUGUCAGGCUUAACUUGACAGCGUGCAGAGGAGACUGCUAAACUAGGGACCGGGAGGAGUCAGAAGUAUUUCUUGGGGAGCGGUAAAAUGUUAUAAUCCUUGAAAGACUACCUGUGGCGAAGGCGUCUGACUAGAACGGAUCCGACGGUGAGGGACGAAAGCUAGGGGAGCGAUCCGGAUUAGAUACCCUGGUAGUC
Molecule: ribosomal RNA, 423 nt
Filed under: uncultured archaeon
Lineage: Archaea
Description: partial 16S ribosomal RNA
Rfam family: Archaeal small subunit ribosomal RNA
Source: RNAcentral